UUUUGGUUUAGUUGGCUGUGGAGCAUAUGAAAACUCCACAUUUAAGCGUGCUUAGGUGGGAGUAGUACUAGCAUGGGUGACCUCCUGAGAAGUCUUAUCCGAGGCAAUAA
RNAcentral lists this ribosomal RNA (110 nucleotides) under Helianthus annuus (common sunflower). The record is from RNAcentral. Lineage: Eukaryota; Viridiplantae; Streptophyta; Magnoliopsida; Asterales; Asteraceae.